GGGGGUAUAGCUCAGUUGGCUAGAGCACUAGAUUUGCAUUCUAGGGGUCAAGGGUUCGAAUCCCUUUACCUCCACCA
RNAcentral lists this transfer RNA (77 nucleotides) under Flavobacteriales bacterium. Its description in RNAcentral is "tRNA-Ala". It matches the Rfam family "tRNA". Rfam says of the family: Transfer RNA (tRNA) molecules are approximately 80 nucleotides in length. Their secondary structure includes four short double-helical elements and three loops (D, anti-codon, and T loops). Lineage: Bacteria; Pseudomonadati; Bacteroidota; Flavobacteriia; Flavobacteriales. The record is from RNAcentral.